GAUGAACGCUAGCGGCAGGCCUAAUACAUGCAAGUCGGACGGUAUCCUGCUUUCGGGCGGGAGAGAGUGGCGCACGGGUGCGUAACGCGUAUGCAACCUGCCUUAUACAGUGGGAUAGCCCGGGGAAACCCGGAUUAAUACCGCAUGUUACCGUUGACGGGCAUCCGUUUACGGUCAAAGAUUUAUCGGUAUAAGAUGGGCAUGCGUAGGAUUAGCUAGUUGGUGGUGUAACGGACCACCAAGGCGAUGAUCCUUAGGGGUUCUGAGAGGAAGGUCCCCCACACUGGCACUGAGACACGGGCCAGACUCCUACGGGAGGCAGCAGUAGGGAAUAUUGGGCAAUGGGCGGUAGCCUGACCCAGCCAUGCCGCGUGCAGGAAGACGGCGUUCUGCGUUGUAAACUGCUUUUAUACGGGAAGAAAAGGCCCAUGCGUGGGACAUUGCCGGUACCGUAUGAAUAAGCACCGGCUAACUCCGUGCCAGCAGCCGCGGUAAUACGGAGGGUGCGAGCGUUGUCCGGAUUUAUUGGGUUUAAAGGGUGCGUAGGCGGCCCGUUAAGUCGGCGGUGAAAGUCUGUGGCUCAACCAUGGAACUGCCGUUGAUACUGGCGGGCUUGAGUGCCGGUGGGGUACAUGGAAUUGGUGGUGUAGCGGUGAAAUGCAUAGAUACCAUCAGGAACACCGAUAGCGUAGCAUUGUACUUACCGGCAACUGACGCUGAGGCACG
This 726-nucleotide ribosomal RNA is filed under the name uncultured beta proteobacterium. RNAcentral describes it as "bacterial SSU rRNA". It matches the Rfam family "Bacterial small subunit ribosomal RNA", at positions 28 to 755 of the family's 1533-position model. Lineage: Bacteria; Pseudomonadati; Pseudomonadota; Betaproteobacteria. The record is from RNAcentral.